This 293-nucleotide ribosomal RNA is filed under the name Anopheles rivulorum. RNAcentral's name for it is "partial 28S ribosomal RNA". The stretch from base 207 to 293 matches the Rfam family "Eukaryotic large subunit ribosomal RNA", at positions 813 to 897 of the family's 3401-position model. Lineage: Eukaryota; Metazoa; Arthropoda; Insecta; Diptera; Culicidae. The record is from RNAcentral.
UAUCUUGCGCGCAACGCAAUGGGUGAUUGGGCCGUGCCUCCGGGGGCGGCUGGUUAUACGUUGUGAAACCCACAGGCGAACGUACAACUCAGGCUUUCCGGAGUUACGGGUUCGCAUUGGCGCAACGUUUCGUCGGGCCCCUUCCAUCCCAGGGUGUCCCGUCACGGGUGCUUGCACAGCGGGCAUCCCCCGAGUGCGUAUGAUGUGACCCGAAAGAUGGUGAACUAUGCCUGAUCAGGUCGAAGUCAGGGGAAACCUGGAUAGGACGGACCGAAGCAAUUCUGACGUGCAAU